This 253-nucleotide ribosomal RNA is filed under the name uncultured bacterium. RNAcentral describes it as "partial 16S ribosomal RNA". It matches the Rfam family "Bacterial small subunit ribosomal RNA", at positions 524 to 776 of the family's 1533-position model. The record is from RNAcentral.
UACAGAGGUCUCAAGCGUUGUUCGGAUUCAUUGGGCGUAAAGGGUGCGUAGGCGGCGCGGUAAGUCGGGUGUGAAAUCUCGGAGCUUAACUCCGAAACUGCAUUCGAUACUGCCGUGCUUGAGGGAUGCAGAGGAGACUGGAAUUCCCGGUGUAGCGGUGAAAUGUGUAGAGAUCGGGAGGAACACCGGUGGCGAAGGCGGGUCUCUGGGCAUUUCCUGACGCUGAGGCGCGAAAGCGUGGGGAGCAAACGGG